UGGGGAAUCUUGCACAAUGGGGGCAACCCUGAUGCAGCGACGCCGCGUGAGCGAUGAAGCCCUUCGGGGCGUAAAGCUCUUUCGACCGGAACGAUAAUGACGGUACCGGGAGAAGAAGCUGCGGCUAACUACGUGCCAGCAGCCGCGGUAAUACGUAGGCAGCAAGCGUUGUUCGGAGUUACUGGGCGUAAAGAGUGCGUAGGCGGUUUUCUAAGUUCGGUGUGAAAUCUCCCGGCUUAACUGGGAGGGUGCGCCGAAGACUGGGAAGCUGGAGUGUGGGAAAGGCAGGCGGAAUUCCUGGAGUAGCGGUGAAAUGCGUAGAUAUCAGGAGGAACACCGGCGGUGUAGACGGCUUGCUAGACCAUAACUGACGCUGAGGCACGAAAGCGUGGGUAGCAAACA
Molecule: ribosomal RNA, 402 nt
Filed under: uncultured bacterium
Lineage: Bacteria
Description: bacterial SSU rRNA
Rfam family: Bacterial small subunit ribosomal RNA
Source: RNAcentral